This 609-nucleotide ribosomal RNA is filed under the name uncultured bacterium. Its description in RNAcentral is "bacterial SSU rRNA". The stretch from base 1 to 540 matches the Rfam family "Bacterial small subunit ribosomal RNA", at positions 338 to 873 of the family's 1533-position model. The record is from RNAcentral.
CCUACGGGAGGCAGCAGUGGGGAAUUUUGGACAAUGGGGGAAACCCUGAUCCAGCAAUGCCGCGUGAGUGAAGAAGGCCUUCGGGUUGUAAAGCUCUUUUGUCAGGGAAGAAACACCGGCUCUAACACAGUCCGGGAAUGACGGUACCUGAAGAAUAAGCACCGGCUAACUACGUGCCAGCAGCCGCGGUAAUACGUAGGGUGCAAGCGUUAAUCGGAAUUACUGGGCGUAAAGCGUGCGCAGGCGGUUAUACAGGACAGGCGUGAAAUCCCCGGGCUUAACCUGGGAAUGGCGCCUGUGACUGUAUAGCUAGAGUGUGUCAGAGGGGGGUAGAAUUCCACGUGUAGCAGUGAAAUGCGUAGAUAUGUGGAGGAAUACCAAUGGCGAAGGCAGCCCCCUGGGAUAACACUGACGCUCAUGCACGAAAGCGUGGGGAGCAAACAGGAUUAGAUACCCUGGUAGUCCACGCCCUAAACGAUGCUGACUAGUUGUUCGGGAUUUACAUCCUGAGUAACGUAGCUAACGCGUGAAGUCNGCGCGNGGAGUACGUCGCGAGAUAACGUACAAGAAGUAGAGCGNGAGAGNGACGACGACGACGACGAGGAGAGG